GAUCCCGAAUUAGUAGUGUCAGUACAAAGCAAGAGUUUGGAGACAGCCAUCACCUGGUGAGCUGUAGGAGAACCUGGGGUUGGGAGAAGAACCAGCUGCCAAGAGGGAGAAAGAAGGGGCCCCCGAUGGCCAAGGGGACAGAAUGAGCUAACGAUGUGAGGGAGGAGAUCCAGGUUAUUCCUCAGGAACUUCACAAUGGGUGCUUUGUGGUCUCCUGUCUGCCUAAACAUUUCUGUCAAUGUACCUUUGUGUGAAUCGGGCAACAGAGUGGAGUUCAGUCUCUGCCCAGUUUGGUGCACAGAGCCAUCAGCCUGGGGGCACAUGACACCUCUAAAUGAAGCCUUGCUGGGGCACAACCCUCCUUUUACCACAGAGAACACUCACCAUGGUGACCAGAUGGUAAGCAUUUGUGAGAAUCUUAGUUUCCUUCUAUGGCUGAAGAAUGGUUGACUUUUCCUCUGUUGCAUGCUCUUUUCUCUCCCAGCCUAUCAUGUGAUCCAGUUGGGGGUUCUCUUAGAGUAUUUGUUUUCUGUCACGAAAUAUUUCUCAUAAGAAACUAACCAAGAGUAGUGUUCAUGUACUAACUUGAGUAGAAGUGAAAACUGGCAUAUAAUGGGCAGUUAAGAACAACAGGAAAAAUAAGAGCUAUGCCAAGGAAGAGUGGGACUUAGAGCAGUAAAUUCUGUCAUCUCAAUUUAUGUUUUCCUUUUAGUCCCUUUUUCCCAGAUUCACGCUUUUCCUCUCAGACACACGGCAGCAUGGGUGUUAUCCUCGAGAAAGCACAGCUACAACAAAGCCACUUGAGUGGCAGUUUAUGAUUGGAAGCAUUCUUGAGUGUCCCAAAUGUGUUGUAUCUUUCAUGACAAGUUUCCCCUCAAAACGGGAUUUGGGGUAUGUGUGUCUAAGCCCAUCCUGUAUAUUACUGUCCUAUGUAGAAAGGUGGCAGUGAUUCUCUUCAUGUUUGAGCCACAUCUCAGCCACAGUAUAAAGCAGCACACAGAGAACCCAUCUAUUUCUUUAAAUCACUGAUCUCAAACACAGAACUUUUCCUUUAAACAUUCUUUUUAGAAUCAGUUCAGUCAUUCCUGAAAUACCAAAAUGCUAGUGUUCCACCAUAAAAAAUAGAUUUUCACUGGAGAAAAUAGUGGCAGUUUCACUGAGGAUGUGCCUUCACACACACGGGAGAGGGGUGGCGUGGAGCCAGGCAAACUGACCCUCUGAAUAAAAAGAAGAAAGGCAGUAGGAAGAAAAGCAGCCAUUAAGUGUCUCGGUCUGACUGGCCUAUGGAGUAAAGGGCAUAUAUUUAUAUACAGAAGGUUGCUAUGAUGCCUAUGGGAAUACUAAUCAUAUUUGGAAUAUUUGUAGGUUUUUUCAGGGAGGAGGGAUGGCUUUUGAAUUCUCACUAGGUUAGUGUGUGGUCCUAGCUAGAGUCGUAGCUCUCACUCUAAAGGACUAAAUUUCUGGACUGGGUUUGGCUUUUCGCACGAUGCUGCAGCUGGGAGACCUGGAACUGACGCCGAGACACUUGAAUUAGUUUUAGCAGAAGAGAAAUGGAGGAGCCAUAGAACAUUAAGGAUGAAUUCAGGAAGGCCUGAGACCAUGGAAAACUUGCCUGCUCUCUACACUAUUUUCCAAGGAGAGGUUGCUAUGGUGACAGACUAUGGAGCAUUUAUCAAAAUCCCUGGCUGUUGGAAGCAAGGUCUGGUCCAUCAAACUCAUAUGUCAUCCUGUCAGGUGGAGAAGCCCUCUGAAAUAGUAGAUGUCAGAGACAAAGUGUGGGUGAAGCUUAUUGGCCGAGAGAUGAAAAAUGAUAGGAUAAAAGUAUCCCUCUCCAUGAAAGUUGUCAACCAAGGGACUGGGAAAGACCUUGAUCCCAACAACCUUAUCAUUGAGCAAGAAGAGAGGAGGAGGCGUUCCUUCCAGGAUUACACUGGGCAAAAGAUCACCCUCGAGGCUGUCCUGAACACCACCUGCAAGAGGUGUGGCUGUAAAGGCCACUUGGCAAAAGAUUGCUUCAUGCAGCCGGGUGGGACCAAAUGCUCUCUGAUACCUAAUGAGGAAGAGGAGAAGGAAGAAGCAAAGACAGCAGAAGUUGAGAAGCCUGACCCCAUGAAGAAUUCUUCUAGAAAAAGAAAGAAGGAAAAGAAGAAAAAGAAACAUAGAGACAGGAAGUCAUCUGACUCUGACAGCUCAGACUCUGAGAGUGAUACAGGCAAGAGGGCAAGGCACACAUCAAAAGACAGCAAGGCAGCAAAGAAGAAGAAGCACAAGGAGUGAGAGUAGGAACCAGGGGCCUUGUGCCUUGAAGCCCUGGCUCCUAGAAAGACUCAACAGUGAGAAUAUGGCUUCCCACCCCAUUAAGUUCACUCCCAUGGGAGAUGCAUCCCCUCGUGCAACAGGCAGGUUUGAGAGUUAGAGGUCACAAGUAGCUGCCUGAAUGAGUUGUUGUUUCCUUAUCACUCCUGGUCCUUUUGCAAGUGACCCCUGCAGCUCACACAUUCAUUCAUCCAGCUUCCCUCAUUCAGCAAGAGGUCCUAUUACCCUCUCCAGUAGCCACUGCCAGAGCCGGAUUCCUGCACAGGAGUCCAGGCUAGCGCCACAGGGACUGCUGUGUUGGUAAGUCUGGCUGUCGUUAGAGAACAGAGUGAUUGGCCCCUUCUAUUGGUCUGUUUGGGCUGACUGGUGGGUGAUCUCUGCUGCAUCCAACAUAGGGGCAGAGAGACUGGCAGCCAGAGGGAGGAUGUGUUAAGAAGUGGUGCUCACCCUUUCCAUCCCCCAGCAUGGUUCUGUGCUAGAAGGGACAGCCAGUGGCCACAGCCAGAAAAACGAUCAUUUGCCGUGUGACUUAGCUAGUGUAUGACAUUCCAGCGGACCACUGAACUGGACAGCUGAAACCAAGAUCAUUGUUCCACUUUGUAUUUACUACUGUGUAAGUCAGUUGAUUCUACUUCGGGUCCCUGCUUAAAUUCCUGGCACUAAAAACAAAAAAAAA
Microcebus murinus (gray mouse lemur) is the source of this 2992-nucleotide non-coding RNA. NCBI's taxonomy places the organism in Eukaryota, Metazoa, Chordata, Mammalia, Primates, Cheirogaleidae. The record is from RefSeq and is a predicted model, not a curated record.